GACGAACGCUGGCGGCGUGCUUAACACAUGCAAGUCGUACGGUAAGGCCCUUUUUUGGGUGCGUGCGCGAGGGGCGGGCGGGUGAGUAGCACGUGAGUAGCCCUCCCUUUUGGGUUGGAUGACUGCAGGAGACGGGGGUUAAGGCCAUGUAUUAGCUCCGGCUGCAGGGUGGGGGUUGGAAUUUUGCGGUGGGUGGGGAUGGACUCGCGGUUUAUCAGCUUGUUGGUGGGGUUGUGGCCUACCAAGGCUUUGACGGGUAGCCGGCCUGAGAGGGUGACCGGCCACACUGGGACUGAGACACGGCCCAGACUCCUACGGGAGGCAGCAGUGGGGAAUAUUGCACAAUGGGCGGAAGCCUGAUGCAGCAACGCCGCGUGAGGGAUGACGGCCUUCGGGUUGUAAACCGCUUUCGCCUGCGACGAAGCGAGAGUGACGGUAACAGGUAAAGAAGCACCGGCUAACUACGUG
RNAcentral lists this ribosomal RNA (468 nucleotides) under uncultured bacterium. Its description in RNAcentral is "partial 16S ribosomal RNA". It matches the Rfam family "Bacterial small subunit ribosomal RNA", at positions 28 to 507 of the family's 1533-position model. The record is from RNAcentral.